Molecule: ribosomal RNA, 253 nt
Filed under: uncultured bacterium
Lineage: Bacteria
Description: partial 16S ribosomal RNA
Rfam family: Bacterial small subunit ribosomal RNA
Source: RNAcentral
UACAGAGGGUGCGAGCGUUAAUCGGAAUUACUGGGCGUAAGGCGCGCGUAGGCGGCUUUUCAAGUCGAUUGUGAAAUCCCCGGGCUUAACCUGGGAACUGCAGUCGAGACUGUCUAGCUCGAGUAUGGGAGAGGGAAGUGGAAUUUCAGGUGUAGCGGUGAAAUGCGUAGAUAUCUGAAGGAACAUCAGUGGCGAAAGCGACUUCCUGGACCAAUACUGACGCUCAUGUGCGAAAGCGUGGGGAGCAAACAGG